Molecule: ribosomal RNA, 465 nt
Filed under: uncultured bacterium
Lineage: Bacteria
Description: bacterial SSU rRNA
Rfam family: Bacterial small subunit ribosomal RNA
Source: RNAcentral
CCUACGGGGUGCAGCAGUGGGGAAUUUUGGACAAUGGGGGCAACCCUGAUCCAGCAAUGCCGCGUGUGUGAAGAAGGCCUUCGGGUUGUAAAGCACUUUUGUCCGGAAAGAAAUGGCGCUGGUUAAUACCCGGCGUUGAUGACGGUACCGGAAGAAUAAGCACCGGCUAACUACGUGCCAGCAGCCGCGGUAAUACGUAGGGUGCGAGCGUUAAUCGGAAUUACUGGGCGUAAAGCGUGCGCAGGCGGUUUUGUAAGACAGGCGUGAAAUCCCCGGGCUCAACCUGGGAAUGGCGCUUGUGACUGCAAGGCUAGAGUGCGUCAGAGGGGGGUAGAAUUCCACGUGUAGCAGUGAAAUGCGUAGAGAUGUGGAGGAAUACCGAUGGCGAAGGCAGCCCCCUGGGACGUGACUGACGCUCAUGCACGAAAGCGUGGGGAGCAAACAGGAUUAGAUACCCGAGUAGUC